UACGGGAGGCAGCAGGGGGGAAUAUUGCACAAUGGGCGAAAGCCUGAUGCAGCGACGCCGCGUGAGGGAUGACGGCCUUCGGGUUGUAAACCUCUUUCAGUAGGGAAGAAGCGGAAGUGACGGUACCUGCAGAAGAAGCACCGGCUAACUACGUGCCAGCAGCCGCGGUAAUACGUAGGGUGCGAGCGUUAUCCGGAAUUAUUGGGCGUAAAGAGCUCGUAGGCGGUUUGUCGCGUCUGUCGUGAAAGUCCGGGGCUUAACCCCGGAUCUGCGGUGGGUACGGGCAGACUAGAGUGCAGUAGGGGAGACUGGAAUUCCUGGUGUAGCGGUGGAAUGCGCAGAUAUCAGGAGGAACACCGAUGGCGAAGGCAGGUCUCUGGGCUGUAACUGACGCUGAGGAGCGAAAGCAUGGGGAGCGAACAGGAUUAGAUACCCUGGUAGUCCAUGCCGUAAACGUUGGGCACUAGGUGUGGGGACCAUUCCACGGUUUCCGCGCCGCAGCUAACGCAUUAAGUGCCCCGCCUGGGGAGUACGGCCGCAAGGCUAAAACUCAAAGGAAUUGACGG
This 566-nucleotide ribosomal RNA is filed under the name Micrococcus sp. RNAcentral's name for it is "bacterial SSU rRNA". It matches the Rfam family "Bacterial small subunit ribosomal RNA", at positions 340 to 916 of the family's 1533-position model. RNAcentral also lists the same sequence under 1 other name. Lineage: Bacteria; Bacillati; Actinomycetota; Actinomycetes; Micrococcales; Micrococcaceae. The record is from RNAcentral.